RNAcentral lists this long non-coding RNA (226 nucleotides) under Panax ginseng (ginseng). Its description in RNAcentral is "long non-coding RNA (PGIN_LNC018677)". Lineage: Eukaryota; Viridiplantae; Streptophyta; Magnoliopsida; Apiales; Araliaceae. The record is from RNAcentral.
AAACUGUGAGUUUAAAUACAGAUAUUGCCAUCUAGACAAUAUCCACAUACAAAUAAAUCUUCAUCAUAAUUAUUGAUACAUUAUUUUACAACAAUGGUGAGGACUACUAAACAACUCUCCCUAGAACCUUCAUUCCAUACCCCGACUCGUACUCGCUAUAUUCUCGCCUCCUGAGAAGAAAAAUGGAACAAAAAGGAAAAGGGUGAGCUCAACUAGCCCAGUAAAG